Molecule: long non-coding RNA, 6004 nt
Organism: Stegostoma tigrinum
Lineage: Eukaryota; Metazoa; Chordata; Chondrichthyes; Orectolobiformes; Stegostomatidae
Exons: 2
Source: RefSeq, a predicted model, not a curated record
AAAACCUACCCUUUGCGCCAUCAGUCUGCGCUCCCACACUGUUGGAUGUGCCGUCUCUGUAAUAUCCCCCAGUCCGCUUUAGUUCUGAUACUCAACGAGAUCCCUUUUUUUUCCAAUCCAGUUUCCGACUUCUGCUUUAUCCUCCACUAUCGCAGUUUAAAGCGGCCCAAGGAAGGAGGGGAACUUUGCCUUUUUUUUCUCUCUCUCUCUCUCUCCCGCUCUCUCUCUCUCUCUCCCUCUUUUUCUUUCCAGAAGAAGCAAAAAAAAAUGUCAAGCCAGAGAGAAAAAAAUAAUUACUGAAGGUUACGAUCGGCCCGUCAACAGCCCGCUUGUAACAAAACUGUCGUCUCUCAUGGCUUUUUGCCACUCCAGCUGUCAAUCAAAGCAGGGUUGUCAAGGUAUUGAAUGAAUGAUGAUCUGCCGUUGCAACAACUCCGCUGUCUUGGACCGCUAUCUCACUGUAAAAAAACAGCGAUGAAAAACGUUCACGAGGAGUUAACAGCACACAAAAAAAUAAGAGCGAGAAAGUGGGUGGAAAGCAGCUUCGGCUUCUUUCGUAGCUUUUUUUUUGUUGUUUGUUUGAAUAAGUGGCUGUCAGUAAGUAUUGAGGAGGUGGCAGGUUGGGAGGUUGGUUGGUUACAGAGUGAGUGUGUUGUCAGUAAUAAUGCGCUGGCAGCGCUGAGCGGCGGCGGCGGGAGAAUGACGGAACCCGGAAGUAGUGGUGGUCAUAGCCAGUCGUACGCCAAGCUGUCUCUCAUAUGCAGACUAUGCAAUCGGACCGCUGCAAGUCAUGGGGGGGGGGGGGGAGCCAGAACCGAAAUAAAAGCCCCACUGAGAACCCCCUCCCCUUCCCCCAAGUCAGAUUGUAAAACAUCUCUAAAUCAAUCAGCAUUGUCUUAGCGAGAUUCAUUAUUCCCAUGUAUGUACAAUUUUUUUUUCUGUUUUGUGUGUGUGACAACUGCUUUUAGAAAAAGUUGUUCACAUGUUAGGAUAUUUCAGAACUUCCCACAAAGUAAGGGCUAGAGCCCUUGCUUCAAAUCAAGCCCUUUGCAAUUCUCAGAAACUAUGACUUAAAAUAGUGGAAGUGUCCGACUUGCUGUACCUUAACAAAUACAUAAUAUGUGAAACUCGUUAACUGGUCACAUUCACGACUGACCGAUGUGUGUCUUGCAGAGGAUUGCUUCGGGAAGGCAACACCGGUUUUAUUUGAGUAAGUGACUCCCAAGUUCAACAGGCUUCGAAUUAUUUCCCCCUUCAGUCAUCCAUGUCCUCCGCUGUACUUUUGUUUUCCUAGCAUUGUUGUGGUUUGCAGGGUAACGCGGAGAUAUUUGUCGCGGUGACUCCAGAUAAUGGUGUUCCUAAUUGCAGUGUUAUUUAGAAAAUUAAGUGUGGUCCCUCACCCCCUUGAGCACAAAUGAACUUUUCCAACGAAAAAAAAGCUUUGCAGGGAAAGUAAUUUUGUGCAUCUCGUCCAAUCCUUUCGCUGGAUCCAAAUUCAUGCACCCAGCCGUACAUCAUGGCAGUCAAUUAUCAUAGCUUCAUCUGAUCAUCAAUCACAGGGGAUGCUAGAAGUUAAGGGGCGGAGCAAUGGUCGACCCAUCGAUUGCAGUAGUUUUGUCUUUCCCCCCCUUCUCGUUCACGGCCCCCUACGCACAAAGGCCGAAACGGUCUAUUCCGUUUAAUGUUUGGGUUCAUCAAUAGACAUGCAGGCUUUUGUGCGUGUGACAUCACAUAUCGAUGGUUUCACAGGGGGGUGGGGGGGGGGGGAAAUUGGCAAAAUACAUUGUCUACGGGAUAUUUGAUUUCCAAAAUUAAACAUGAAUCACGACUUUGUCAAAGCAAGCAGAAUCUGUACACUUUUUUUCGCGGACACGGGGAUGCAGUAAUGCAACUUCAAGAGGUCAAUAAAGCAAAAAGAAAAGAGAACGAUUAAGAGGAUGAUGUUGAUAGUAAUACCCACUGCAAUUAAACAGUUUGAUUAAACGAGGCAUCAUAACAACAAUGAUGUUUGGGAAAACACCCCUCACAUAAAAAAUAACAUAGUGCAGCGGUUGACAAACGCCAGUAGGCAUUCCAACAUGACGCUGCCUCUGAGUAUACCAAGGACUGUUGACAAUGUAGGACAGCAGCGAAAAUUCGCUCUCAAAAUACUUUUUACGCAUUGUUUCCCCCUUUAAAAAAUGAGAAAGACGUACAGCUUCUGAAGAUCCAGCUGCCUUCCGAGACGGUCUUCUAAUAAGUAUUCUUCUGCUCUACUGUACUGCGACUUGUCCUGCAGCACUGUAAGUACAGCCGCGUCCUGCCAUUCAAGUAAGUGUGCUUCACUAAUAGGCAUUUAUUGCCAAACAGUACACAAACGGCAACGUUGCCAUGGUUUUGCCUAACCGACCAGCCCCACAUUAAUGAUUGCCGUGUUUUAAUGUAACAAGUCAACAAGACAACAGAAGAAAGGUGGGUAGAAAUUGCAGCGUUUUCGCAAUGCGUGAACCAGGCGAGUUUGAAAACCGAGCCGGCCACGAAUUCUCACCUCGUCGGUAACGGCAAGGAAUGUCUCUCUGAUCGCAGCCCGGCGUUGGAACAAGGCGCUUUGUAAAAUCGUGAAAGCUUUCUAGAGCACUAAAGCGGCGAGCUGGUAGCAGCGAUGAGCGGGGACUUUCUCAAGUGAUAAAUAAAAGUAAAUGUUGUGUGACAGUCAUCGGUGACUAUUGAAAAUGCAUUUGUUCCGACUCAUUUUUUGUCAAUGGGUUUGACUGCGGUAUUGUGCCAUUUCCAUGAUCUGGUAAAGUGUAUGGAUGUCGGGAUAUGUUGCACCCCAUAGGAUUGCGCCGAUUAAAUAUUCUAGCCAUAUGCAUAGGUAUUUUCCUUCUAACAUGCCCGGCAUGUUCUGUUGGUAAGCCCCGAAUAAUAAGGGACAUGUGUUCUAUUUGUCGAAUUGAUGACAUUUUAUUUUAUAACAUAAAGCAAAGUACACAUUCGGAUUUCGUGUGAGUCCAAAAGUUUGAAAAUGAUCUUCUACGUUACUCGUCAAUAUUUAAUAAAAGCACAAAUGACUUGCAAAUCGCCAUUGACCCUGGACGGCGGUAAGUAAAACACGGUAAUAAAUAGUGGCUACCUUGUAUUUUAUCGAUAGAAAAACCUAUUUUAUUAUAAUAAAGUUUUGUUUUUGUACAAUACGAAAGUACUUCAACGUAAAACACUCUUGUGUUUAACAGUUGACUGCAAAACAGUAGAAUUCCAAAUGCAGAUAAUGAGAGUCUGGACAGCAUUUCUGUACCGUUCUUUUAUUUAUUUACUGAGUUACCAACUUUGUUCCUGAAUAUUCAUAUUUACAUAACAUACGCAUAUGAUAUGUAAGUGCUAUUCUCCCUAAACAAAUCUUGUUCGAUUUCGGUUUUAGAGAACGGUUGCUUUGCUUCACUUAAUAUGUUAUGUAUAUGCUUUUUUCCAAGUUCACAGAUUUCUGUUAUCAAUACGAGAUAUCCCGACCUUCUCAGAAUCGAAUCCCGAAAUGCAGCCUUUUAUAUAACAUUUCAGUAGGGAUUCGAGUAGCUGCCGUUCAAAUAAUGCAAAUCGGUGUCCGGUUAUGGAGUGCAUCUCCAUCAACAAACAGAUAGCAGGGGAUAGCCGAAGAUUGCUUUAACAGCCGGUAAAAUUUCAUCUUCUGGUGUCAAAUUGGGGUCAACCUGGGGUUAGAGCUAUCACUGCUCAGUCAGAGUAGUCCAGCUGUGUUGAGAUUCAUUAAGAGUUCAGUAUCUAUUUCAAGAAAAAACAGCACUAAGACAAUCAGAGGGCGAAGGAGCCAGUUGUUGUUGGAACUGCAAGUGUACCGACCAAAAUGGUAUCAGUUCAUUAUGGAACGCUGGGAAGUACAAUAUCUGAUACAAAGUCAUAACAAGGAAGGAGACAAGAAAGGAAGGCGAUAAAUAUUGGAGACUUGCAGUUACUUUCGCGACCUCGUUAAAAAGAGACGUAUUUGAAUGUCCUCCGCGUUGACCACAGUUAACGCUCGUUUUGAUUUGAUUUUGAUUGUACUUCAGUCCAAGUUUAUGUGUGUGUUGUUUCGGAGCGUGCGUUUUCUUGCCCCCUGGAUUGUGAAAGAUGUAUUCAAUUCAUCGCUGCAAAAGUUUGAAGUCUCUGCUUGUUCGGGAAAUGAGGUAAAAGCAGAGUUGAAUCAGUUUGCAGCGUAUUUCACCAGCUUUCCAAGAAUUCUAUAUUCUAAACGGGCUCUGUAUUGGUUUUACAGGUUGUUUGUUUGUUUUAGAGAUCGUGAUUUCAAAACCCACCGCCACUCCCCCCAACACACCCCCCCUUCCCAAAACACCCUCCCCCGACAACAAAAAGAUAGGAAGGAAGAUCGAGGGCGAUUAUUGGUGAACUUUGUCUGACCCCAGUGUAAAUCCAGGCUGAAGGAAGAUCUCCCCACUGAGUGGGUCAUCCGUUACCUGUAAACCGUCAUAUAUUAAACGCACCAGGUUUUUCUUUCAUAGCUUCCCUCAAACUCGCCACUACCCAGAGAGAAAACAGGCGACGUGAACUUUCGGCAGAUGUUCUGCCGUGGUCGGCGAGAAGUUCAUUGCAAGGCACGUUCUUAUAGACAGCCCUUUAGCGCUAUCUGGCGGGACUGGCUAUAGCAGUCCGAUAGCUGAUACAAGUAUUCCACACCCCUCAAUCCACACCCACCCCCCCCCAAAAAAACCUUGCAGCCGCGCGAAGUUCAGUUGCCCAGCGCGACCGGGUCAGUGAUGUGGUUUUAAAUGAACAGAUUAAAUUGUACCAAUCGAACCUAUUUGAAACAAAGCUCGAUUUGAUAACGCCACGUCCAACACGCUAGUGAUCUCAUUUCGUUUUCAUUAUCGAAGGAGUGAACUUUUCAACAGCCGCGCUGCCUGGAAAGGCGAAAUGCGUUUGUUUUGCAAUUGCUGUCCGUUCACUUGAUGGCCGCACAGUUUCGAUGUUGUUUUGCCCCUAACGUUUCGAAAGUAUUACCUUUUGUUUUGGGAUCUAACGGCGAUUAUUGUUAAAUUGUCACAACUGAGUGCCGACGUUUCUUUCCUUUUUAGGUGUAUUUUUUUCUCUCUCUCUCUAGAAUAUAUAUCAGUUGAAUGAUUGUUAUUUUGACCGCACUCCGGCCCGAUUGCACGGGAGGGGGAUCAUUACACAGGGCUGGGAAUGUGGAGGUCGCCAACGAGAACUUCUUAAUCGCCAGCGCUGUUGUGGGAAUGAUAAUACCAUAACACGUCGCCCACACAAGGCAUCUCCCGCACGCGAAUUACACAUGAAGGCAUUUUAGAAAAUUAUUACCUACUCCGGGAUGCGUGCUAAUUUAGAAAUCAGCUUUUCUUCGCCAUAUUUAGCUCGAUUUCCCCCCUUCAUUUGGAACGGCGUUUACAAGCGCUUAUUCAGUAAUAUUUCAAGUAGUGUUCCGUAAGAUAACUUAUUCCAUUUACCCUUCUCAGAAAAAGAUGCAUUUUAUUUUUUCUUAGCAAUGCACGUUUCAGAACAUUAAAUGUAUAACGACAAAACAAGAAAAAUCAAAACAAGCUGAUUUAGGUAGUUAUUUUAGAUGUUAAUAGUCCAUGCUCCUCUGCUUCUUAAAUACAAACUGGUCAUGUUUAUAAGUAGUGGAAUCAUUUAAUGAGUGUCAUUAAAGCGUGCUUCCAUUGCAAUUAUCCCUGGAUUAGAUCCACCAAACCAGGUUAAUUUGAAAAAAAAAGCAAUUAGCGGGUGCAGUAACAAAGCAACGGGCAAAUCUUUAUAGACUUUUUUGAAACAGCAUUGCGAUAAAUUGCACCCGUUCGAUGUCUUAUGUACAUAACCCUUUUAAUCGCCAGCAAAAAGGAGCGUUAAUUUUCUUUUAUACAAUGCUGACGCCAAGACAGUACGACAGCUGUUUUGUAAUGUUCCCCCCUCUCUGUGUGUGUAUGCGUAUUCUGAUCUCCAACAAAGCAAUGUUGAGCGAUUUUGUUCUGGAUCGUUUGACGUAAUUAAAUGUAACUUUUCCUUA